Molecule: long non-coding RNA, 1599 nt
Filed under: Homo sapiens (human)
Lineage: Eukaryota; Metazoa; Chordata; Mammalia; Primates; Hominidae
Description: HSALNT0270123
Source: RNAcentral
CCUCGGGGUAGGUGUGUCUGCCAUGCAAACAGGUUGCUCAUCUGCCACCAGGCCCCUAAUGAGCCCAACCCUCCUCUGAGCAGCUUGCUCCAACCCCAGCCCUGUUGUCAAGUCAGGCCCCUGCUCAUAAAACUCUCUCCAGUGAGCUGUGACACACAUGAAGGUACACAUUUACAGGGAAACCUGUAAAUCAGGGAAAUCGGGACAGCCCCACACCCCUUCUCAAGGCCACUUAAAGUAGCAAAGGUGCGGCACUGGACUCAGCCUUGCGUUGGUCUCUGCACAGACUCAGGUAAUCAUCGCUGGCCUGGGAGGACGCGGCCCUCGAAGAGUUUUGGAGCAUCUCCACACUUAGAUGUUCAAUGCCUCACGUCUACUGGGAGGUAUGUGAAGUCUUUGACCCCACUUCUCAGAUUGGAAACCAAGGCUGUGCAUUGAUGUUACUGGCCAAAGCCACAGAAUGUGGGCAGAAGUCAGACUCACCAGGGAGUUUUCCUCCAGUGUGAACAGCUUUUCCUCCUCUAAAGUUCCUUCUUAAAGGAAGCAGGGAAGGUUCAGCCCUACAUGGUGCCUACUUCUUAGCCUGACAAUGGGGUAUCCAGCGGGUGAAGCAGUUGAGAAGUGGGCAGUCGACCUUGGCUUUGCCCUCCUCCCCUGAUGUAGACCCCGAGGUGCCCCACUGAAGAUGCCUUUGGGAUGGAAAACAAGCUCUUUGAAGAUUGUUUCCCAAUUCUUACAUUUGAGGCCAGGAGGAAGUUCCGAGGACCCAUCUUUCAGGAAUUGGCCGGACGUGGGCAAAUAAAUUGGAUAUCUAUUGAUCAGCACUCCUGCCAAUAACUUGGAACAUCAUUUCCCAGUCAAUGAUUUCACAAAUGAAGACACUGCAAAAUAGUGUUCGUUGCCUGUCCACUGUAGGAACUGAUUCUAAAUGUUCACUUCAGUGUGCCUGCCAGAGGAAUACAAACCCGAUACGGGUGUACUGGCCACGCGUUGGAGAGACGAAAAGGCUUACUGAACAUUCUUAGUAAAUGUGCCAUUUGUUCCUGGUGGGUGAAGCAUUUCAUGAUUCAUGCAAUAUUGUAAAUUUUUAUUUUCUUUACAUAGACUUGGCUUUUAUUGUAAUUCCUACUCUUGGGGGAAGGUAAUAUGGAUUCAUCCAAGUUAAUAAAGCCUCUUGGAGAUAACAUCUCCAGGACUCAAGGCCAUUCUCAGGGUACAAUUAAGACAUUUGUUUGCUUGGUAUUCACCACGAAGAUCCAAGGUUGCCAUCAUGCUAAGUCACUGCAUGCAUUUCAUGACAUGAACACGAGCUUUGCAUACCAUUUCAGGCAGGACAGCGAUCACAGUGGAGUCACCGUUAGAGAAGCUGAGAGGUUCUUUGGAACAAACUACAGGCCAUGAAUAAGAGUAACAAGUGUGCCACCUCAUUAGAAGGUAGGGCAGUUCAGAGGACACCGAGCCCUGGACCAAAGGUUCAGGCCACAGCAUGCAUCACUGCAUUCCACACACCCUGCUUUGCCCCGGAGCUUGGAGGUAAAUCUGGAGAGAAGAAAGAGCCGUGGUUUUCUUUUCUUUUUUUUUUUUCCUUUUUUUCUUUUU